CCUACGGGAGGCUGCAGUGAGGAAUAUUGGUCAAUGGCCGCAGGGCUGAACCAGCCAAGUCGCAUGAGGGAUGACGGUCCUAUGGAUUGUCAACUUCUUUUGUCAGGGAGCAAUUGGGUCCACGCGUGGGCUUAGCGAGAGUACCUGAAGAAAAAGCAUCGGCUAACUCCGUGCCAGCAGCCGCGGUAAUACGGAGGAUGCGAGCGUUAUCCGGAUUUAUUGGGUUUAAAGGGUGCGUAGGCGGAAUAUCAAGUCAGCGGUAAAAAUUCGGGGCUCAACCCCGUCGUGCCGUUGAAACUGAUGUUCUUGAGUGGGCGAGAAGUAUGCGGAAUGCGUGGUGUAGCGGUGAAAUGCAUAGAUAUCAGGAGGAAUACCGUUAGCGAAGGCGGCAAUCUGGCUGGAAACUGACGCUGAGGUGCGAAAGCGUGGGUAGCAAACAGGAUUAGAUACCCCAGUAGUC
RNAcentral lists this ribosomal RNA (460 nucleotides) under uncultured bacterium. Its description in RNAcentral is "partial 16S ribosomal RNA". It matches the Rfam family "Bacterial small subunit ribosomal RNA", at positions 338 to 795 of the family's 1533-position model. The record is from RNAcentral.